This 525-nucleotide ribosomal RNA is filed under the name uncultured bacterium. Its description in RNAcentral is "bacterial SSU rRNA". It matches the Rfam family "Bacterial small subunit ribosomal RNA", at positions 355 to 896 of the family's 1533-position model. The record is from RNAcentral.
UGGGGAAUAUUGGACAAUGGGGGCAACCCUGAUCCAGCAAUUCUGUGUGCACGAGGAAGGUUUUCGGAUUGUAAAGUGCUUUCAGCAGGGAAGAAGGAAGUGACGGUACCUGCAGAAGAAGCGACGGCUAAAUACGUGCCAGCAGCCGCGGUAAUACGUAUGUCGCAAGCGUUAUCCGGAAUUAUUGGGCAUAAAGGGCGUCUAGGCGGCCAGACAAGUCUGGGGUGAAAACUUGCGGCUCAACCGCAAGCCUGCCCUGGAAACUGUCUGGCUAGAGUGCUGGAGAGGUGGACGGAACUGCACGAGUAGAGGUGAAAUUCGUAGAUAUGUGCAGGAAUGCCGAUGAUGAAGAUAGUUCACUGGACGGCAACUGACGCUGAAGUGCGAAAGCUGGGGGAGCGAACAGGAUUAGAUACCCUGGUAGUCCCAGCCGUAAACGAUGAUUACUGGGUGUGGGCAUGAAGAGUGUCCGUGCCGAAGCAAAUGCGAUAAGUAAUCCGCCUGGGGAGUACGGCCGCAAGGCUG